Molecule: ribosomal RNA, 1032 nt
Filed under: Bacillus sp. NCCP-1130
Lineage: Bacteria; Bacillati; Bacillota; Bacilli; Caryophanales; Bacillaceae
Description: bacterial SSU rRNA
Rfam family: Bacterial small subunit ribosomal RNA
Source: RNAcentral
AAUUGGCAGAUGCUAAUAAUGCAGUCGAGCGGACAGAUGGGAGCUUGCUCCCUGAUGUUAGCGGCGGACGGGUGAGUAACACGUGGGUAACCUGCCUGUAAGACUGGGAUAACUCCGGGAAACCGGGGCUAAUACCGGAUGGUUGUUUGAACCGCAUGGUUCAAACAUAAAAGGUGGCUUCGGCUACCACUUACAGAUGGACCCGCGGCGCAUUAGCUAGUUGGUGAGGUAACGGCUCACCAAGGCAACGAUGCGUAGCCGACCUGAGAGGGUGAUCGGCCACACUGGGACUGAGACACGGCCCAGACUCCUACGGGAGGCAGCAGUAGGGAAUCUUCCGCAAUGGACGAAAGUCUGACGGAGCAACGCCGCGUGAGUGAUGAAGGUUUUCGGAUCGUAAAGCUCUGUUGUUAGGGAAGAACAAGUACCGUUCGAAUAGGGCGGUACCUUGACGGUACCUAACCAGAAAGCCACGGCUAACUACGUGCCAGCAGCCGCGGUAAUACGUAGGUGGCAAGCGUUGUCCGGAAUUAUUGGGCGUAAAGGGCUCGCAGGCGGUUUCUUAAGUCUGAUGUGAAAGCCCCCGGCUCAACCGGGGAGGGUCAUUGGAAACUGGGGAACUUGAGUGCAGAAGAGGAGAGUGGAAUUCCACGUGUAGCGGUGAAAUGCGUAGAGAUGUGGAGGAACACCAGUGGCGAAGGCGACUCUCUGGUCUGUAACUGACGCUGAGGAGCGAAAGCGUGGGGAGCGAACAGGAUUAGAUACCCUGGUAGUCCACGCCGUAAACGAUGAGUGCUAAGUGUUAGGGGGUUUCCGCCUCUUAGUGCUGCAGCUAACGCAUUAAGCACUCCGCCUGGGGAGUACGGUCGCAAGACUGAAACUCACAGGAAUUGACGGGGGGCGCGCACAAGCGGUGGAGCAUGUGGAUUUAGUUCGAAGCAACUCGAAGAACCUUACCAGGUCUUGACAUCCUCUGACUAUCCUAUAGAUAGGACGGUCCGCUUCGGAGGCAGAGUGACAGUUGUUGCAUGG